CCUACGGGUGGCAGCAGUGGGGAAUCUUCCGCAAUGGGCGAAAGCCUGACGGAGCAACGCCGCGUGAUCGAAUGAAGGCCUUCGGGUUGUAAAGAUCUGUUGACAGGGACGAAUAAGCAAUGCGAAUAGUUUUGUGUAUGACGGUACCUGAGGAAUAAGCCACGGCUAACUACGUGCCAGCAGCCGCGGUAAUACGUAGGUGGCAAGCGUUAUCCGGAUUUACUGGGUGUAAAGGGCGUGUAGGCGGGAAAGCAAGUCAGAUGUGAAAACCAUGGGCUCAACCUGUGGCCUGCAUUUGAAACUGUUUUUCUUGAGUACUGGAGAGGCAGACGGAAUUCCUAGUGUAGCGGUGAAAUGCGUAGAUAUUAGGAGGAACACCAGUGGCGAAGGCGGUCUGCUGGACAGCAACUGACGCUGAGGCGCGAAAGCGUGGGGAGCAAACAGGAUUAGAUACCCCAGUAGUC
Molecule: ribosomal RNA, 464 nt
Filed under: uncultured bacterium
Lineage: Bacteria
Description: partial 16S ribosomal RNA
Rfam family: Bacterial small subunit ribosomal RNA
Source: RNAcentral